GCUCCGUAGGUGAACCUGCGGAGGGAUCAUUACAGAGUUCAUGCCCUACCGGGUAGAUCUCCCACCCUAUGUUAUUAUUACUUUGUUGCUUUGGCGGGCCGUUAGGCUCCGGCCCGACUACCGGCCCCGGCUGGUAAGCGCCCGCCAGAGGACCCAAAACCCUGAAUAUUAGUGUCGUCUGAGUACUAUCUAAUAGUUAAAACUUUCAACAACGGAUCUCUUGGUUCUG
This 229-nucleotide unclassified non-coding RNA is filed under the name plant metagenome. Its description in RNAcentral is "partial contains small subunit ribosomal RNA, internal transcribed spacer 1, and 5.8S ribosomal RNA". The record is from RNAcentral.